UGGGGGAUAUUGCACAAUGGGCGAAAGCCUGAUGCAGCGACGCCGCGUGGGGGAUGAAGGCCUUCGGGUUGUAAACUUCUUCUGCUCUGAACAAGGCAUGCCUUUGGGGUGUGUUGAGUGUAGGGGUUGAUUAGCGCCGGCUAACUACGUGCCAGCAGCCGCGGUAAUACGUAGGGCGCGAGCGUUGUCCGGAAUUAUUGGGCGUAAAGGGCUUGUAGGUGGCUAGUUGCGUCUGUCGUGACAGCUCAUGGCUUAACUGUGGGUUUGCGGUGGGUACGGGCUGGCUUGAGUGCAGUAGGUGUGGCUGGAAUUCCUGGUGUAGCGGUGGAAUGCGCAGAUAUCAGGAGGAUUACCGGUGGCGAAGGGGGGUCUCUGGGCUGUUACUGACGCUGAAGAGCGAAAGCGUGGGGAGCGAACAGG
RNAcentral lists this ribosomal RNA (420 nucleotides) under Fusobacteriota bacterium. RNAcentral's name for it is "Fusobacteria bacterium partial 16S ribosomal RNA". It matches the Rfam family "Bacterial small subunit ribosomal RNA", at positions 355 to 776 of the family's 1533-position model. The record is from RNAcentral. Lineage: Bacteria; Fusobacteriati; Fusobacteriota.